UACGGAGGAUGCGAGCGCUAUCCGGAUUUAUUGGGUUUAAAGGGUGCGUAGGCGGGAUGCCAAGUCAGCGGUAAAAAUGCGGUGCUCAACGCCGUCGAGCCGUUGAAACUGGCGUUCUUGAGUGGGCGAGAAGUAUGCGGAAUGCGUGGUGUAGCGGUGAAAUGCAUAGAUAUCACGCAGAACUCCGAUUGCGAAGGCAGCAUACCGGCGCCCUACUGACGCUGAGGCACGAAAGCGUGGGUAUCGAACAGG
RNAcentral lists this ribosomal RNA (252 nucleotides) under uncultured bacterium. Its description in RNAcentral is "partial 16S ribosomal RNA". It matches the Rfam family "Bacterial small subunit ribosomal RNA", at positions 524 to 776 of the family's 1533-position model. The record is from RNAcentral.